AUGAACGCUGGCGGCGUGCCUAAUACAUGCAAGUCGAGCGAACAGACGAGGAGCUUGCUCCUCUGACGUUAGCGGCGGACGGGUGAGUAACACGUGGAUAACCUACCUAUAAGACUGGGAUAACUUCGGGAAACCGGAGCUAAUACCGGAUAAUAUAUUGAACCGCAUGGUUCAAUAGUGAAAGACGGUUUUGCUGUCACUUAUAGAUGGAUCCGCGCCGCAUUAGCUAGUUGGUAAGGUAACGGCUUACCAAGGCGACGAUGCGUAGCCGACCUGAGAGGGUGAUCGGCCACACUGCAACUGAGACACGGUCCAGACUCCUACGGGAGGCAGCAGUAGGGAAUCUUCCGCAAUGGGCGAAAGCCUGACGGAGCAACGCCGCGUGAGUGAUGAAGGUCUUCGGAUCGUAAAACUCUGUUAUUAGGGAAGAACAAAUGUGUAAGUAACUAUGCACGUCUUGACGGUACCUAAUCAGAAAGCCACGGCUAACUACGUG
This 496-nucleotide ribosomal RNA is filed under the name uncultured bacterium. RNAcentral describes it as "partial 16S ribosomal RNA". It matches the Rfam family "Bacterial small subunit ribosomal RNA", at positions 29 to 507 of the family's 1533-position model. The record is from RNAcentral.